This is a long non-coding RNA of Centruroides sculpturatus (bark scorpion), 210 nucleotides long. RefSeq lists it as uncharacterized. The transcript is spliced from 3 exons. Lineage: Eukaryota; Metazoa; Arthropoda; Arachnida; Scorpiones; Buthidae. The record is from RefSeq and is a predicted model, not a curated record.
CUUUCACACUCGAUAAAUGAUAUAAAGCACGAAAACACUUUUUAUUUGGAAUGAUGACAUCGUUCAGCGAUGAAACUGUGGAUAAAACUACUCCGUUACUUUCUUCUCAAAGAAUUUCUUCAGUUCGAGAAAAGCUUCCAUAUCCAAAGGCCGCAUUGUUCAUUUUGCUGCUUCCAUUUGGAAUUUACUUUUUCUACGUUUCAUUAUUAA